GGCUCACCACAUCCUCUGUCUCCCGGGAGAAUUGCUUGAACUGGGAGGCAGAGGUUGCAGUGAGCCAAGAUUGUGCCACUGCACUCCAGCCUGGGUGACAGAGUGCGACUCCGUCUCAAAAAAAAAAAAAAAAAAAGCUCUUGUUAUACUAUAUUGAAUGAUCCUGCAUGGUUUAUUUACAUAAUGUAAUAUCUAUAUGCACAGGUAGAUCCUGAAUGAAUAAUAUAAUUGGUAUAUGAGGACAUUACGGAAACAGUAUGCUACGUCAUUCAAGUUGUAAAGUGGCGAUAUUUGGUAGGACCUUUUAAACAUGAUACUUAAAAAAGUACAUAUAUACACACAUCUGCAAAAAAUAAAAAUCACCUUAUUCAUAAUUAGUUAUUAAUACCUUAAACAGAGCCUUCCAAAUAAAAGUGUUAAAUUUUGGAUGACUAUUUAG
This 439-nucleotide small RNA is filed under the name Pan troglodytes (chimpanzee). RNAcentral's name for it is "processed transcript". Lineage: Eukaryota; Metazoa; Chordata; Mammalia; Primates; Hominidae. The record is from RNAcentral.